UAUGUGAUCGUCUCUCGCAUAUCAAUAAGCGGAGGAAAAGAAACUAACAAGGAUUCGCCUAGUAACGGCGAGUGAAGCGGGAAGAGCUCAAAUUUGAAAUCUUAAAGGGUUUCCCUUUACGAAUUGUAGUUUAAAGAAGUGUUUUCUGUUGAGGUUUUGGUAAAAGUUCUUUGGAAUAGGACAUCAUAGAGGGUGAGAAUCCCGUAUUUGACCUUUACUUUCAACUUUGUGAUACACUUUCAAAGAGUCGGAUUGUUUGGGAAUGCAGUCCAAAAUGGGUGGUAAAUUUCAUCUAAAGCUAAAUAUUGGCGAGAGACCGAUAGCGAACAAGUACCGUGAGGGAAAGAUGAAAAGAACUUUGAAAAGAGAGUUAAACAGUACGUGAAAUUGUCAAAAGGGAAGCGUUUGACACCAGUGUUGUUUUUCUGAAAAUCAAUUAAAGAACUGUUUAUGCUAAGCUUGUUUAGACUUUAUCAGCUAACUGUUUAGUUUUGAGCUUUUCUUUAAUGCACUUUUCAGUUAACAAGUCAACAUCAAUUUCUUUUGCUGUAAAAAAGCUUGAGGAAGGUGGCUUGAGAUUCGUCUUAAGUGUUUAUAGCCUCUUGCCUAUGCAGUCGGAGAGAUUGAGGUCUGCAGCGUAGAUCCUUCGGGGCUAAAUGCAUUUGUGCUAAGUUAUAGCAUUUUAUAGACAACUUGUUGACUAUGAUUUGUCUUGUAGCUUACUCGCUUAUGUUAUUUUACCUACGCUUAGGAUGUUGAGUAGCGACAUACGCAC
This 775-nucleotide ribosomal RNA is filed under the name uncultured Neocallimastigales. RNAcentral describes it as "partial large subunit ribosomal RNA". It matches the Rfam family "Eukaryotic large subunit ribosomal RNA", at positions 24 to 649 of the family's 3401-position model. The record is from RNAcentral. Lineage: Eukaryota; Fungi; Neocallimastigomycota; Neocallimastigomycetes; Neocallimastigales.